GAAAAUGAUGCGGGCAUGUCUUCGUUAUGGUGAGAACAGCAAUAAAGAAGAAUCUGGUUAGCGAUGAUAUUGAUGCUGAUAGUGCCGAGAAAUGACAUGUUUACUUUUCAGCCAACUGCUCCCUUCCGCUCUCACUCACAAUUUACAUAACGCUCCUUCCAUUUGCAAAUCCUCUCGGUCUCUCUACCAUCCCCUCGUAAAAAAAUAUUGGGGUUCUACAUGUGCGAUUUCGCUUCCGAGAAUUCGUUCAUUUGCUUCGAAUUCAUCUGUAGAAGCGACUAGAGUAAUGCAAAGCAUGACAAGUCCAGUGUCCAUAUCCUACCUCACGCAGCGUGAAGCCGCGGAGAUUGAUGAGAUUCUUAUGGGUCCUCUCGGGUUUAGCGUCAAUCAGUUGAUGGAAUUGGCUGGUUUGAGCGUUGCUACUUCCAUAGCAGAGGUUUACAAACCAAGCGAGUUUAAUCGUGUUCUUGCGAUUUGUGGUCCGGGGAACAAUGGUGGUGAUGGUUUGGUAGCAGUUCGCCAUCUGCAUCACUUUGGAUACAAACCAUUUGUUUGCUAUCCAAAGCGCACUGCCAAACCUCUUUAUACUGGUCUGGUUACUCAGCUGGAAUCACUGGCAGUCCCUUUCUUGACAGUGGGAGAUUUGCCUUCAGAUUUGUCAAAGGACUUUGAUAUUCUAGUAGACGCAAUGUUUGGGUUCUCAUUCCAUGGUGCCCCAAGACCACCUUUUGAUGAUCUAAUCCAAAAAUUGGUUUACUUGCAUGAGUGCAAUCAAACUCGCCAAAAGUCCUCAGUUAUUGUCUCUGUAGAUAUUCCAUCUGGAUGGAAUGUUGAAGAAGGCGAUGUUGCUGGUGAAGGAAUUAAACCUGACAUGUUGGUUUCUUUGACUGCUCCAAAGUUGUGUGCAAAGAAAUUUUCUGGUCCACACCACUUUCUAGGCGGUAGGUUUGUCCCACCAUCAAUAGUGGAGAAAUAUAAGCUGCAUCUCCCACCAUAUCCUGGCACUUCUAUGUGUGUCCGAAUUGGAAAGCCUCCGCAAAUUGAUAUAUCAGCUCUAAGGGAGAACUAUAUUUCUCCUGAAUUCCUUGAGGAACAGGUGGAGGCUAAUCCCAUUGAUCAGUUCCGCAAAUGGUUUGAUGAUGCUGUGGCUGCUGGACUGAAGGAGCCAAAUGCUAUGUGCUUGUCAACUGUUGGACAGGAUGGAAAACCCUCAUCUAGAAUGGUAUUGUUGAAAGGAAUUGAUAAAGAUGGGUUUGUCUGGUGCACCAAUUAUGAAAGUAGAAAGGCACAUCAAUUAUCUGAAAAUCCUGGAGCAUCACUUCUUUUCUACUGGGAUGGUCUUAAUCGGCAGGUAUUGCAUAUUUCUUGUGUUGAGGUUGGCCUGAACAACUUUAUUUUUUUUUCCUUUUCUCCUCUUUGCCCCCUCUGUAUAUUUUGGGAUUUUGGAGCUUUCAUUAGAUGGAAGGAUUAUAAGAGGAUUUUCUAAUUGAUCUAUUCUGUAUGUGAGUCAAUAUCAGAUGCCUAAUGAGGAAAUCUGGUAACCAUAUGUAUAAUGAUAAACCUUCUUACUCCAUUUGGGAAUGGAAUGGCAGCAAGAAACAAUUUUUGUGAAAUUCAAAAAUAAGGAUUUUAGACCCUUUAUGAAUCUAGCAUCUGGUAACAUGUAUUGGAUGAAGCUAUUGAUCAGCAUUUUUCUCAUUUAGGCGUCCCCCCCAACUUCCCAACCCCCCACCCACCUCCCCAAAAAAAAAAAAAAAGAAAAAAAUCCCUCUUUUUUUCUGUUACUGAAGCACGUCAGUACUAUAAUGAUUUGAUUCAUCCUUUGGAGAGAGUAGCAUUUUACGCUUUUUCUAUUUCAUAUGUAUUUUGGCUUUAAUCGACAUUCACAAAAUUGUUACAGUUCAUUUUAUGCACUUUUUCCAUUAAGUGUUUUGUCCAAGAAGUCAGAUCUUUGCCAUGUGAGAUAACAGGGUAGAGCAAGGGACAGCAGUGUCUUUCCAAGCAAGGUAUGUUAUAUGACAGCAUGCUGCAGUUGUUGAGGCUAGGAAUUACUAAGCAGUUGCAGAAUGGUUGUCAACGGCAUAGCAGCAACAAUUAAAAUAGCAAUGACGUCAUUUAGUUUUCACUGGCUACAAAUGUCUGAAGUUAUGAACCAGAUGAUGACUUUAGCUGACUUCACUUAGAGAUUACAAAGAAAGUAGGAAGGAGAAAGCAAGACCUUGUCAUUAUGGAGAUUCCUUUAUACUUCAUUUAUAGUCACUGUUGGUGAGGGUGGAAGGAUCUGUGCAGAAAGUCUCAGAUAAGGAAUCUGAACAAUACUUCCAUAGCCGCCCUCGAGGAAGUCAGAUUGGAGCAAUAAUUAGCAAGCAG
Molecule: RNA transcript, 2370 nt
Organism: Hevea brasiliensis (rubber tree)
Lineage: Eukaryota; Viridiplantae; Streptophyta; Magnoliopsida; Malpighiales; Euphorbiaceae
Gene name: pyridoxine/pyridoxamine 5'-phosphate oxidase 1, chloroplastic
Exons: 11
Source: RefSeq, a predicted model, not a curated record